This is a long non-coding RNA of Triticum aestivum (bread wheat), 3551 nucleotides long. RefSeq lists it as uncharacterized. NCBI's taxonomy places the organism in Eukaryota, Viridiplantae, Streptophyta, Magnoliopsida, Poales, Poaceae. The record is from RefSeq and is a predicted model, not a curated record. The transcript is spliced from 5 exons.
CCUCCGCAUACCCUCCUACCAAACCAAGAGGAAACCUAGCCGCGUUCUCCUCUGCGGCACGCAACCUUUGUCCCCCUCUAGAUAUAGAACAACACGCCUCGUCCACCCAUACCUCUACAAGUCAGAUCUAGGCCUGACCUGUAGUUUCCUGACCGUGCUCGCCUCGAUCUCGGGGUAAGCUGAAUUCGGCGUCCAUGAUUUGUUCCGAUCACCCGUUUGUUAUCUGAUUCCCAGGUUUGUCCUUCUGAUCGGCGAGUUGGGGCUUGCGGCGAUCUUGGAGAAAAGACGGGAGGCAAGCUGGAUCUGCCCACGGAAGCUUCCGAUCUGCCCGGCUGGCGUCUCAGAUCUGUUGCUGUUCUGAUGCUUCACGGCGGAUCUGGUUUUUCCCGGCGGUCUCAAGUCGGCGCAGCGGCUGGCGGCGAGUUUUCCGGCAAGCACGUGGGAUCCCGUCUGCUCCUCUACCUCGUGCGACGACGGCCGACGGCUCUUUGUGUUGAUAAUUAUUCGAUGAUAUGUCGGUAAUUAUUAGAUCCAAGAGAUCGGAGGUGAUGAAAGGUAAGAAGAUGUAACAAGCGAGGUGCUUGUGGAGAGGGCGGAGAAGAGCGGAAAAAAAAGAGAUGUGAACAUCUAGAGGCCUUUGCCAUGUUGGGUGCGCUCGCAUGGCAGGCCGCCACCAUAAUAAAGAUGUUUUUUUUGUCUCGGGGGGAGAUCGCACGGGGGUUAUCUUGUUUUAGCCCCGGGUUCUCCCCCCUGUGUGCUGGUGUGCUCCUUUUGUCUGCACCUCUCGUCCGAUCCGACUACAUGGCACAACAAUUCUACCGUCGCGAAUCGAUCAUGGAGCUACAGACGAAAGAACAAAGGUACAAUCGAUAAUUUACAUACAGCUGAACCAUAUAUAAUCAUUGACACCACAAAUUUCAAUACAUACAAGGAUUAUCUUGAAUCCAUACAAGUAACUUUGGUAGAUAUAGAUAUAGAGAUUGUGUUGACACAUCACCACAAAUCUGCAACCAACUACAGCAGUCCAGCCUAAACAAAUUGUUUGCAUGCGGAUUUACAUAUUGUUGUAACAAUUCGAGUAUAUUUGGAUUCUUCACUCAGAAGUUGUGUUUAUUUGUAUGAUAUUCUGUACUAAAUUUAAGUUUAAUUCUCCCUAUAUAAGGAUUUUUUAAUAAGAAAUUCAUAUUAGACCCCUUUUCUCUGGUCUCCUGCUUCAUAUUGUAAUCUGUCUUACGUAAGAUACAAUUUAUGUAGCUUGAACAGCUGUAUGUGGGUCUUUGUAUUACCCAAAUGAAGCCUACAGCUAUACGCAGGUGGACACAUCUUUCUCGUUGGAGCUUGAAGAGACGUGAGAGCUCUAUGAUUCUGGAGAAAUCUGCCGAACACAUCUUACCUCAGGGAAUACCCGCUGGGAGGCUGGUUUACAUGUACUUGCUUACUAAUCUGGAUAAUCAUUUAUUAGAGCGCUAUUUUAAUCAGUUUCGCUACAUAUUAUGGUGAACAUUACAUCCAUUUGUAUCAGUUGGUUAAAGAUAAUUAGAUAUUUAUUAUAUUUGUGGAUAUUCUCCUUGUUGUAUGAUCGGGACAAUAUACUGUUUUAGAUGAUUCUCGUUUUAGAUUCGAUCCUAGGUUAAAUUUGAGGAUGCGGCUGAUGAAAUUAUUCCAUACUGUUCUAUUUAUGAUUACGGUUAUAGAUUCAGGUAACAAUUUAUGAGGCGUUUGCUUUUUUCUUUGGGUGUUAGAUCUGGGUGGGGUUGAACUUCGUAAUUCAAAUUUAGCUUAUUUAAUAAUAUGAUAAUAUGAUACGUAUUUACUUGGUCUAAUUUCUGAUAAAAUUAUGCACUCUAAUUUCUGAUAAUAAUAUGAUAUUACUCUUUGUAAAAGAAUUAUGCAUUCCUUCGUUGCUAGCAUACAAAGCAAAAUGAGUGAAUUUACACCCUAAAAUAUGUGUGUGUACAUCGGCAUGAAGUAAAAUGACUUGCAUUGAGAAAUGGAGGGAGUAAUUUGUUUACUUUUUUGGAUUUAGACAGACCAAAUCUCUAAAAUUGAUUCAAAUUGAGGGAAGGAGGGAGUAGUUUGCUUAUUUUUUGGUUUAUGCAGACCAAGUCUGGAAUUACUCGCAUAAAAUGGAUGUAUUUAGGAACCAAGGCAGUUGUUUGGUUAUUUUUUUUUAAUGUACACAGACAAGUUUUGGUGUGUUUGUGUGUGACUUGAUGUGUAUUAUUUGCGAACGGACAGAAUAUUAUGGAGUAAAUAUGCUAUUUGUGCUGAUAGCUGUUGUGGAUCUUAUCUCUGUCUGGAGAGAUUCUCUGUGGAUACUGAUCGUAUGUUCAGAUCCCGGAUGAAAGGUGGUUCAAUCCCACCAAGGUUCUUUAGCGGUCUAAUAUUUGAGCACUUCAAUCUGAUUGUUUGGUUUACUUUAUGUUAUGGUUGUGAAAAUAUUAUUGGUAGUUUUUGAAUCUUUUGUUUUUGUGUUGCAGGUUAUCGUACUUUAGAAAUAACAAGGUAUUGGGGGAGUAGGGCGAAAAAAAGCCCUCAAACAGCUAGUACAAUCUAUUGGGGGAUUCCAAUGAAACAUCCCAACUCUCCCACGUACUAUGGAAAUACGACCAGACUGCAAAUGCUAUGGCCCACAAACUGAAUCAUCAACUUGUCUCUAAUCGUAAGUGUUGGACGGGGAAUUCAUCAAGGUUCCUUUAAAUAUGAUUACGAAGUCCAUUGUGCCGUUGCCAACCAUUGGUGGAGAGAGAACAUCACAUGCAAAUGGGACAUGUAGUUCCAUAGUAUUGUCACAUUGACAAAUGGGACAUGUUGGUUAUGUCAACAAACGGGACAUGUAGGUCGGUUUGCAAGAAGUAUCUCCACAUGGUCCAACCGCUUAUCUCGUGGGUUCCUUCAUGUGGUCUUGCCACCGCCACGGGCCUCCUCCUGUCACCGCUAAUUUGCGACGGACGAGCACUGGCUUGGCUCAUCUUGCUUCUACCUUAGAAAUCUAAGGAGAAAAUUCUCCCUGCCACAUAGGGCUGGUCGAUCAGGGAGAUGCAACCCUGCACGUCAUGGUUUCCGGCGGCGAAAUCAUCCACAUGGGAGAUGCUGGGAUGCGGUCGUUGGUCCAGUAGGAGGUCACAUGAUUGGGUGAUGUGUUGGGAUUUCCCUUUUUUCUUCAUCAGUACAGGAAGAUUGCCUUGCUAAGGAGGUCUCCUAUACAUGAGUUCUGUGAGAAGGCAAUCAGACGAGGAGUGAUUAUUUUGGUUAUUGCUGUGUGGUAUGUUAAGUUUCAGAAAUGGGGGCUGCCACACACUCAUGCUCAUAUUUCACCGGCCCUGUUUUUCCUUGCCACCAUUGGAUUUGAAGUAACAAUUAGUUAGUGGUGUUCUUCAUGUUACUGUUAUCUCUAUGUAUUCUUCUUUUUGAAACAAUCCUUUUAGAAUCUGGUAUGUGAUCUUGCUUUAUUAGAUAUUGGCAAUUUGCAUUGCCAUUUAGCUGUUUUGACUAUGCAGUAGCGCAAAGUAGAAAUUGCUUUUCAUGAUGUUUCGUGGUAGGUGUAUUUU